CAGCAGCCGCGGGAAAACGUAGGGUGCAAGCGUUAAUCGGAAUUACUGGGCGUAAAGCGUGCGCAGGCGGUUUGUUAAGACAGAUGUGAAAUCCCCGGGCUCAACCUGGGAACUGCAUUUGUGACUGGCAAGCUAGAGUGUGGCAGAGGGGGGUGGAAUUCCGCGUGUAGCAGUGAAAUGCGUAGAUAUGCGGAGGAACACCGAUGGCGAAGGCAGCCCCCUGGGCCAACACUGACGCUCAUGCACGAAAGCGUGGGGAGCAAACAGGAUUAGAUACCCGCGUAGUCCCUGUCUCUUAUAC
RNAcentral lists this ribosomal RNA (301 nucleotides) under uncultured bacterium. Its description in RNAcentral is "partial 16S ribosomal RNA". It matches the Rfam family "Bacterial small subunit ribosomal RNA", at positions 509 to 807 of the family's 1533-position model. The record is from RNAcentral.